GGUUGUUGUGUUUAUUUUGAUAGUGAAAAAAAGUAAAAAAAAACUUCCAAGCUGCCUAUUUUUUGUUCCCGUUUCAUCACCGUCGGACAAAAACCAGCCAAAAGUUAUUUAAACAUUGUUUGAUUGCCGUUCCCGUAGUGUCGGACAAUGCCAACUAGAAUAAACCAUCCGUCAGAAGAUUCUCCACUGACCAUGAAGGUGCUAUGAACGAAAUUGCUGUCGUGUACGUGAUCGUAGGUGGAGAUUGUUUUAGUUAAUGUGGUUUUCCGGUCUAUUAGAUAACCUGUCCUCCAGCAGUCGUCAGGAUCCUCAGGAACCGAUUCUGAUGGAUGAAACAGAAACCGAAGUCAAAGACGAGGAGUAAAAGGCCAUCCGUGUGCAGUGAAAGUGGAGGAGUAAAGGGCCAAAGUCGCCGGAUGUCGUUUCAUUCGCGACAAACAAGUUCCGAUGUUAGUUCGAACGAAAGCAACGACGACAAUAAGGAGGGGAAGGGUUUCGAUUGCAAGCGAAGGGGACACAAACGAGGAGGAAAGAAAAGACGAAAGUCGAGCCCUAUCUCCGGCCAAUCGUUUAAGCCUAUCCGGAAUUGCCCCGCCAGAUCUCAACGAAGAUGACGAUGAGCAUGAUGAUGAUGAAAAUGUGGUUCUGGUAGGUCAUUGUUUCAAAGAGAGGACGAUACUUUGAAGGAUCCAGAGAGGCACGAUGUCAUUUAGGCCAUUUAAGAAGAACGACAUAAUAAAUGGACAGGAUCUACGAAUCAAGUUAGUGCAUAAACAGUGUUUCAGA
Molecule: long non-coding RNA, 786 nt
Organism: Aedes aegypti (yellow fever mosquito)
Lineage: Eukaryota; Metazoa; Arthropoda; Insecta; Diptera; Culicidae
Exons: 3
Source: RefSeq, a predicted model, not a curated record